GAUGAACGCUGGCGGCGUGUCUAAUACAUGCAAGUCGAGCGAACGGACGAGAAGCUUGCUUCUCUGAUGUUAGCGGCGGACGGGUGAGUAACACGUGGAUAACCUACCUAUAAGACUGGGAUAACUUCGGGAAACCGGAGCUAAUAUCGGAUAAUAUUGUGAACCGCAUGGUUCAUAAGUGAAAGACGGUCUUGCUGUCACUUAUAGAUGGAUCCGCGCUGCAUUAGCUAGUUGGUAAGGUAACGGCUUACCAAGGCAACGAUGCAUAGCCGACCUGAGAGGGUGUUCGGCCACACUGGAACUGAGACACGGUCCAGACUCCUACGGGAGGCAGCAGUAGGGAAUCUUCCGCAAUGGGCGAAAGCCUGACGGAGCAACGCCGCGUGAGUGAUGAAGGUCUUCGGAUCGUAAAACUCUGUUAUUAGGGAAGAACAUAUGUGUAAGUAACUGUGCACAUCUUGACGGUACCUAAUCAGAAAGCCACGGCUAACUACGUG
RNAcentral lists this ribosomal RNA (497 nucleotides) under uncultured bacterium. RNAcentral's name for it is "partial 16S ribosomal RNA". It matches the Rfam family "Bacterial small subunit ribosomal RNA", at positions 28 to 507 of the family's 1533-position model. The record is from RNAcentral.